Molecule: ribosomal RNA, 407 nt
Filed under: uncultured bacterium
Lineage: Bacteria
Description: partial 16S ribosomal RNA
Rfam family: Bacterial small subunit ribosomal RNA
Source: RNAcentral
AUUGAACGCUGGCGGCAGGCCUAACACAUGCAAGUAGAACGGAGCGGCGGAAGGGUGAGUAAUGCCUAGGAAUUUGCCUGGUAGUGGGGGAUAACGUCCGGAAACGGGCGCUAAUACCGAAUACUCGAAGAUGAGCCUAGGGCGGAUUAGCUAGUUGGUGGGGUAAAGGCCUACCAAGGGGACGAUCCGUAAGUGGUCUGAGAGGAUGAUCAGUCACACUGUACCUGAGACACGGGCCAUACUCCGUCGGGAGGCAGCAGGGGGGAAUAUUGGACACUGGGCGAAAUCCUUAUCCUGCCAUGCCGCGUGUUGUAAGAAGGUCUUCGGAUUGUAAAGCACUUUUAGUUGGGAGGCGUUACCAACAGAGUAAGCACCGGCUAACUUCGUGCCAGCAGCCGCGGUAAUAC